RNAcentral lists this transfer RNA (76 nucleotides) under Bacillus subtilis subsp. subtilis str. BSP1. RNAcentral describes it as "tRNA-Val". Lineage: Bacteria; Bacillati; Bacillota; Bacilli; Caryophanales; Bacillaceae. The record is from RNAcentral.
AUAACCGUGUCACAGCUGUCCGCCAGCCGGGUUCCACAUUUAAGCCGCUUGCUGUAUACGGACCGGCGAUGCAGGA